UGGGGAAUAUUGGACAAUGGGGGCAACCCUGAUCCAGCAACGCCGCGUGAAUGAAGAAGGCCUUCGGGUUGUAAAGUUCUUUUGUCUGGGAGCAAAGUUUCACGGUAAAUAGCCGUGGAAGCUGAGAGUACCGGAAGAAUAAGCACCGGCUAACUACGUGCCAGCAGCCGCGGUAAUACGUAGGGUGCAAGCGUUAAUCGGAAUAACUGGGCGUAAAGGGUGCGUAGGCGGGUAUACAAGUUAGAUGUGAAAACCCUGAGCUUAACUUGGGAAUGGCAUUUAAGACUGUAUGUCUAGAGUCUGUAAGAGGGUGGUAGAAUUCCGAGUGUAGCAGUGAAAUGCGUAGAUAUUCGGAGGAAUACCGAUGGCGAAGGCAGCCACCUGGGAUAAGACUGACGCU
RNAcentral lists this ribosomal RNA (400 nucleotides) under uncultured bacterium. RNAcentral's name for it is "bacterial SSU rRNA". It matches the Rfam family "Bacterial small subunit ribosomal RNA", at positions 355 to 747 of the family's 1533-position model. The record is from RNAcentral.